GCAAGUCGUGGGGCAGCAUGACUGUAGCAAUACAGUUGAUGGCGACCGGCAAACGGGUGCGGAACACGUACACAACCUUCCUUUUAGUGGAGAAUAGCCCAGGGAAACUUGGAUUAAUACUCCGUAACAUAUAAAAGUGGCAUCACUUUUAUAUUAUAGCAGCAAUGCGCUAGAAGAUGGGUGUGCGGCUGAUUAGAUAGUUGGCGGGGUAACGGCCCACCAAGUCGACGAUCAGUAACUGGUGUGAGAGCACGACCAGUCACACGGGCACUGAGACACGGGCCCGACUCCUACGGGAGGCAGCAGUAAGGAAUAUUGGUCAAUGGACGCAAGUCUGAACCAGCCAUGCCGCGUGGAGGAUGAAGGUCCUCUGGAUUGUAGACUUCUUUUAUUUGGGAAGAAACCCAUCUUUUCUAAGAUGGCUGACGGUACCAGAUGAAUAAGCACCGGCUAACUCCGUGCCAGCAGCCGCGGUAAUACGGAGGGUGCAAGCGUUAUCCGGAUUCACUGGGUUUAAAGGGUGCGUAGGUGGGCAAGUAAGUCAGUGGUGAAAUCUCCGGGCUUAACCCGGAAACUGCCAUUGAUACUAUUUGUCUUGAAUACUGUGGAGGUCAGCGGAAUAUGUCAUGUAGCGGUGAAAUGCUUAGAUAUGACAUAGAACACCAAUUGCGAAGGCAGCUGGCUACACAAAUAUUGACACUGAGGCACGAAAGCGUGGGGAUCAAACAGGAUUAGAUACCCUGGUAGUCCACGCCCUAAACUAUGGAUACUCGACAUUUGCGAU
Molecule: ribosomal RNA, 784 nt
Filed under: uncultured Sphingobacteriales cum 'Crenotrichaceae' bacterium
Lineage: Bacteria; Pseudomonadati; Bacteroidota; Sphingobacteriia; Sphingobacteriales
Description: bacterial SSU rRNA
Rfam family: Bacterial small subunit ribosomal RNA
Source: RNAcentral